RNAcentral lists this ribosomal RNA (747 nucleotides) under Bacillus cereus. RNAcentral describes it as "bacterial SSU rRNA". It matches the Rfam family "Bacterial small subunit ribosomal RNA", at positions 57 to 785 of the family's 1533-position model. Lineage: Bacteria; Bacillati; Bacillota; Bacilli; Caryophanales; Bacillaceae. The record is from RNAcentral.
GCAGUCGAGCGAAUGGAUUAAGAGCUUGCUCUUAUGAAGUUAGCGGCGGACGGGUGAGUAACACGUGGGUAACCUGCCCAUAAGACUGGGAUAACUCCGGGAAACCGGGGCUAAUACCGGAUAACAUUUUGAACCGCAUGGUUCGAAAUUGAAAGGCGGCUUCGGCUGUCACUUAUGGAUGGACCCGCGUCGCAUUAGCUAGUUGGUGAGGUAACGGCUCACCAAGGCAACGAUGCGUAGCCGACCUGAGAGGGUGAUCGGCCACACUGGGACUGAGACACGGCCCAGACUCCUACGGGAGGCAGCAGUAGGGAAUCUUCCGCAAUGGACGAAAGUCUGACGGAGCAACGCCGCGUGAGUGAUGAAGGCUUUCGGGUCGUAAAACUCUGUUGUUAGGGAAGAACAAGUGCUAGUUGAAUAAGCUGGCACCUUGACGGUACCUAACCAGAAAGCCACGGCUAACUACGUGCCAGCAGCCGCGGUAAUACGUAGGUGGCAAGCGUUAUCCGGAAUUAUUGGGCGUAAAGCGCGCGCAGGUGGUUUCUUAAGUCUGAUGUGAAAGCCCACGGCUCAACCGUGGAGGGUCAUUGGAAACUGGGAGACUUGAGUGCAGAAGAGGAAAGUGGAAUUCCAUGUGUAGCGGUGAAAUGCGUAGAGAUAUGGAGGAACACCAGUGGCGAAGGCGACUUUCUGGUCUGUAACUGACACUGAGGCGCGAAAGCGUGGGGAGCAAACAGGAUUAGAUAC